GUCUUUUUGUAAAUAAUAUAAAGUCUAAUCUGCCCACUGAUUUAAUUAUUAAAGGGCUGCAGUAUUUUGACUGUACAAAGGUAGCAUAAUCAUUAGUCAUUUAAUUGAUGACUUGUAUGAAAGAUUGGAUGAAAUAUAUACUGUCUCUUAUUUAUAAUAUAAAAUUUAAUUUUUUAGUUAAAAAGCUAAAAUUAAUUAAAAAGACGAGAAGACCCUAUAGAGUUUUAUAAAUUAUAAUUAUUAAGAUUAUUUAUAAAAUUAAUAAUUAAAAUAAUUUAAUUUAAUUUGUUGGGGUGACAAAAAAAUAAAAAUAACUUUUUUUUUAUAAAACAUAAAUAAGUGAAUAAUUGAUCCAAUAUUAUUGAUUAUAAGAAAAAAUUACCUUAGGGAUAACAGCGUAAUUUUUUUUUUUAGUUCAUAUAAAAAAAAGAGUUUGCGACCUCGAUGUUGGAUUAAGAUAAAAUUUAAAUGCAGAAGUUUAAAAUUUUUGAUCUGUUCGAUCAUUAAAAUCUUACAU
This 517-nucleotide ribosomal RNA is filed under the name Helicoverpa armigera (cotton bollworm). Its description in RNAcentral is "partial 16S rRNA". The stretch from base 389 to 517 matches the Rfam family "Archaeal large subunit ribosomal RNA", at positions 2542 to 2670 of the family's 2987-position model. The record is from RNAcentral. Lineage: Eukaryota; Metazoa; Arthropoda; Insecta; Lepidoptera; Noctuidae.